AAUCUUUAUAUAAUUAACUACAAUCUUAGUUUCCUUUAGUGGGUCUUAAUCGUUUUGCCUUUAUUUCCCCCUCAAGAUAAAGGAGAGCAACAAAAACUUUCUGUCUAAAUUGUUUAUCCUCUCAUUCUCUUUCCCUCUCUUGAUUCUCAACCCGUUUUUCUCAUAUAUCUUAUUUUAUCUUUUCAACAUUCUCUAGCUAAAAAUGCCUUUAGAGUCUGUUGUAUACCCGCAAGAUCCACUCGAUUACCUCUCCACUUGCAAAGAUUUCACGUUCCAAGAUCUGUACUAUCAAGAAGAGGUAGUAGUAGCUCAAGACACGAAGAACAACAUUAACAAGUUAGGGCAAGAACAGAGCUUGGAAAACGAUAAGGAGCAAGAUCGUCAAUGGCGAGACUAUCAUCAAUACCCUUUACUUCCUUAUUUGGAAGAAGAACUUGGUCUUCCCGCCAUUGAAAUGGAGAGUCCUCCUCCUCUGCAGCAGAGGAGGAAGAGGAGGAGAACUAGAAGCAACAAGAACGUGGAAGAGAUCGAGAACCAGAGAAUGACUCACAUCGCCGUCGAGAGAAAUCGCCGAAAACAGAUGAACGAGUACCUAGCCGUGCUCCGUUCUCUAAUGCCUACCUCUUAUGCUCAAAGGGGAGAUCAAGCAUCGAUAGUAGGAGGAGCUAUUAAUUACGUGAAGGAAUUGGAGCACAUCUUACAAUCUAUGGAGCCUAAAAGGAUCACGACCACAACCCAUGAAGCUAACACUAGCUGUAGCUCGUUAGUGGAUCCCUUCUCAGAUUUUUUCUCUUUCCCUCAAUACUCGACAAAGUCAUCAUUAAUAACGGAAGGCUCAUCUUCGCCGGCGGAGAUAGAAGUGACGGUGGCGGAAGGCCACGCGAACAUCAAGAUAAUGGUGAAGAAAAAGCCAAAGCAGCUUCUUAAGCUUGUAGCUUCGAUACAGAGCCUAAGACUCACUCUUCUUCAUCUUAAUGUCACCACUCUCGACAACUCGAUUCUCUACUCCAUCAGCGUCAAGGGCAUCCAGGUGCUGGAGAUAUUUACGGUGGUGAGUCUCGGCUAGCCAGUCUAGGCUCUCGUUUCUCCAUGUUAAUGAGCAAGGUACUACUACAAAUUUUGAAGCUUUUGGUUGAUUAUUAUUAACUAAUGGGUUCCAAUAAAGACUUAACCCUUUUAGAUAUAAUGAAGAAUAAAAAUGGCAACAAAAGAAGAGCCUAAGCCUUUUUUUUUGUUUUGAGCAAAAGAGCCUAAGCCUUUUGUGAACCACUCAACUCAAAUAUGGCUGCACCUGAUUAUAUUGUUUCCAUCAAAAGCGAUGUUUAUAUUCCAUCAUCUACUGGAAACAUGGCGAGAGUUGUUGAAGGGCAUGGCCGGUAUCUUGGCCACCAGAGAACCAUCUCUCCGGACAGACAGCAAAAGAGGACGAUGGGAUGGGCUUAUUCAUCAUUCAUCAAGCGGGAGUUGUCUUAAAGAGGACCAGGGAAAGUUCCAUUCUCUCUUUGCUCGUUCCACCUAUCAACCUAUAAGUACAAACACACACAAGAAGAUAGUUUUAAUGACACCUUGUAAAAAUCUCAAGAUAGUCAAGGAGGUGAAGGAUACUUAGUAUAUAUAUAUAUACCCAUUCGCUGGGGCAAAGAGAUCGAUAAAACUUUGCAAACUUAUCGCAUUCUGGAGCAUCGUCACCCUUAGCAGCUACACAUCUGGGAGAUUUGAAAAUCAAUCACAAAGACUUAGAGAUAAGGAGGGACCGAUUCAGUUUAGGAAAAUUUACAGAAGAACAUCGUUAUUUUUUUUUUUCACCUGUGAUACUCAAUGUAACGUGUGAAACAAUGCCUCGUUUGGUUUGUGGUCGGGAAACGGAAAUCAGCAGGAGCUGUCUUAAGCUGCAAAGACACAAACAAACAAAAAAGAAAAAAAACACAACAGGAGCCAACUCAAUCAAUCAAUCAAAUAACAAGUGCAUCAAAG
This is an RNA transcript of Raphanus sativus (radish), 1974 nucleotides long. It is a transcript of the gene named transcription factor bHLH94, with no coding region annotated. The transcript has 4 exons. NCBI's taxonomy places the organism in Eukaryota, Viridiplantae, Streptophyta, Magnoliopsida, Brassicales, Brassicaceae. The record is from RefSeq and is a predicted model, not a curated record.